This 1302-nucleotide ribosomal RNA is filed under the name Streptomyces sp. RNAcentral's name for it is "bacterial SSU rRNA". It matches the Rfam family "Bacterial small subunit ribosomal RNA", at positions 119 to 1427 of the family's 1533-position model. Lineage: Bacteria; Bacillati; Actinomycetota; Actinomycetes; Kitasatosporales; Streptomycetaceae. The record is from RNAcentral.
GGGCAAUCUGCCCUUCACUCUGGGACAAGCCCUGGAAACGGGGUCUAAUACCGGAUAACACUCUGUCCUGCAUGGGACGGGGUUAAAAGCUCCGGCGGUGAAGGAUGAGCCCGCGGCCUAUCAGCUUGUUGGUGGGGUAAUGGCCUACCAAGGCGACGACGGGUAGCCGGCCUGAGAGGGCGACCGGCCACACUGGGACUGAGACACGAUCAAAACUUAUACGGGAGGCAGCAGUGGGGAAUAUUGCACAAUGGGCGAAAGCCUGAUGCAGCGACGCCGCGUGAGGGAUGACGGCCUUCGGGUUGUAAACCUCUUUCAGCAGGGAAGAAGCGAAAGUGACGGUACCUGCAGAAGAAGCGCCGGCUAACUACGUGCCAGCAGCCGCGGUAAUACGUAGGGCGCAAGCGUUGUCCGGAAUUAUUGGGCGUAAAGAGCUCGUAGGCGGCUUGUCACGUCGGAUGUGAAAGCCCGGGGCUUAACCCCGGGUCUGCAUUCGAUACGGGCUAGCUAGAGUGUGGUAGGGGAGAUCGGAAUUCCUGGUGUAGCGGUGAAAUGCGCAGAUAUCAGGAGGAACACCGGUGGCGAAGGCGGAUCUCUGAGCCAUUACUGACGCUGAGGAGCGAAAGCGUGGGGAGCGAACAGGAUUAGAUACCCUGGUAGUCCACGCCGUAAACGUUGGGAACUAGGUGUUGGCGACAUUCCACGUCGUCGGUGCCGCAGCUAACGCAUUAAGUUCCCCGCCUGGGGAGUACGGCCGCAAGGCUAAAACUCAAAGGAAUUGACGGGGGCCCGCACAAGCAGCGGAGCAUGUGGCUUAAUUCGACGCAACGCGAAGAACCUUACCAAGGCUUGACAUAUACCGGAAAGCAUCAGAGAUGGUGCCCCCCUUGUGGUCGGUAUACAGGUGGUGCAUGGCUGUCGUCAGCUCGUGUCGUGAGAUGUUGGGUUAAGUCCCGCAACGAGCGCAACCCUUGUUCUGUGUUGCCAGCAUGCCCUUCGGGGUGAUGGGGACUCACAGGAGACUGCCGGGGUCAACUCGGAGGAAGGUGGGGACGACGUCAAGUCAUCAUGCCCCUUAUGUCUUGGGCUGCACACGUGCUACAAUGGCCGGUACAAUGAGCUGCGAUGCCGCGAGGCGGAGCGAAUCUCAAAAAGCCGGUCUCAGUUCGGAUUGGGGUCUGCAACUCGACCCCAUGAAGUCGGAGUUGCUAGUAAUCGCAGAUCAGCAUUGCUGCGGUGAAUACGUUCCCGGGCCUUGUACACACCGCCCGUCACGUCACGAAAGUCGGUAACACCCGAAGC